Molecule: transfer RNA, 72 nt
Filed under: Toxocara canis (dog roundworm)
Lineage: Eukaryota; Metazoa; Nematoda; Chromadorea; Rhabditida; Toxocaridae
Rfam family: tRNA
About the family: Transfer RNA (tRNA) molecules are approximately 80 nucleotides in length. Their secondary structure includes four short double-helical elements and three loops (D, anti-codon, and T loops). Further hydrogen bonds mediate the characteristic L-shaped molecular structure. tRNAs have two regions of fundamental functional importance: the anti-codon, which is responsible for specific mRNA codon recognition, and the 3' end, to which the tRNAs corresponding amino acid is attached (by aminoacyl-tRNA synthetases). tRNAs cope with the degeneracy of the genetic code in two manners: having more than one tRNA (with a specific anti-codon) for a particular amino acid; and 'wobble' base-pairing, i.e. permitting non-standard base-pairing at the 3rd anti-codon position.
Source: Rfam by way of RNAcentral
CGGUCAGUAGCUCAGCGGUAGAGCUUUCGUCUAAUAUGCGAAAAAACCAGGGUCCCAAUCCCGGCUGAUUUG